CACGUAGUUAGCCGUGGCUUUCUGAUUAGGUACCGUCAAGACGUGCACAGUUACUUACACAUUUGUUCUUCCCUAAUGACAGAGUUUUACGAUCCGAAGACCUUCAUCACUCACGCGGCGUUGCUCCGUCAGGCUUUCGCCCAUUGCGGAAGAUUCCCUACUGCUGCCUCCCGUAGGAGUCUGGACCGUGUCUCAGUUCCAGUGUGGCCGAUCACCCUCUCAGGUCGGCUACGUAUCGUUGCCUUGGUAAGCCGUUACCUUACCAACUAGCUAAUACGGCGCGGGUCCAUCUAUAAGUGAUAGCAAAACCAUCUUUCACUUUAGAACCAUGCGGUUCUAAAUGUUAUCCGGCAUUAGCCCCGGUUUCCCGGAGUUAUUCCAGUCUUAUAGGUAGGUUACCCACGUGUUACUCACCCGUCCGCCGCUAACGUCAAAGGAGCAAGCUCCUUAUCUGUUCGCUCGACUUGCAUGUAUUAGGCACGCCGCCAGCUCGUCUGUCGCGUAGAGUCAAACUACGU
This 518-nucleotide ribosomal RNA is filed under the name uncultured Staphylococcus sp. Its description in RNAcentral is "partial 16S ribosomal RNA". Lineage: Bacteria; Bacillati; Bacillota; Bacilli; Caryophanales; Staphylococcaceae. The record is from RNAcentral.